Molecule: transfer RNA, 52 nt
Filed under: Paroedura vazimba
Lineage: Eukaryota; Metazoa; Chordata; Lepidosauria; Squamata; Gekkonidae
Description: tRNA-Leu
Source: RNAcentral
ACUUUCAAAGGGCUCCAAGUUUAGCCCAUCAGCCUUAGGAGCUGACCAUCCU